CUAUCUUAGAGAUGGAUCUCUCAGCUCAGGAUGCAGCUAGCUGUGAGAAUUAAUGUAAAUCGCAGAACACGUUGAUCAUUGACACUUUGAGGGCACUCGCAGCCCUGGGUUCCUCCUGGGACUUAUUAAUUUAA
This 134-nucleotide ribosomal RNA is filed under the name Oryctolagus cuniculus (rabbit). Its description in RNAcentral is "5.8S ribosomal RNA". It matches the Rfam family "5.8S ribosomal RNA". Rfam says of the family: 5.8S ribosomal RNA (5.8S rRNA) is a component of the large subunit of the eukaryotic ribosome. The record is from Rfam by way of RNAcentral. Lineage: Eukaryota; Metazoa; Chordata; Mammalia; Lagomorpha; Leporidae.